This is a non-coding RNA of Trematosphaeria pertusa, 74 nucleotides long. NCBI's taxonomy places the organism in Eukaryota, Fungi, Ascomycota, Dothideomycetes, Pleosporales, Trematosphaeriaceae. The record is from the annotation of a RefSeq genome assembly.
GCUGAAUGGCGCAGCGGAAGCGCGCCGGGCUCAUAACCCGGAGGACAAUGGAUCGUAAGUUCAAACCACCACCA